RNAcentral lists this ribosomal RNA (496 nucleotides) under uncultured bacterium. Its description in RNAcentral is "partial 16S ribosomal RNA". It matches the Rfam family "Bacterial small subunit ribosomal RNA", at positions 28 to 506 of the family's 1533-position model. The record is from RNAcentral.
GACGAACGCUGGCGGCGUGCCUAAUACAUGCAAGUAGAACGCUGAAGAGAGGAGCUUGCUCUUCUUGGAUGAGUUGCGAACGGGUGAGUAACGCGUAGGUAACCUGCCUGGUAGCGGGGGAUAACUAUUGGAAACGAUAGCUAAUACCGCAUAAAAUGGAUUAUCGCAUGAUAAUCCAUUGAAAGGUGCAAAUGCAUCACUACCGGAUGGACCUGCGUUGUAUUAGCUAGUUGGUGGGGUAACGGCUCACCAAGGCGACGAUACAUAGCCGACCUGAGAGGGUGAUCGGCCACACUGGGACUGAGACACGGCCCAGACUCCUACGGGAGGCAGCAGUAGGGAAUCUUCGGCAAUGGACGGAAGUCUGACCGAGCAACGCCGCGUGAGUGAAGAAGGUUUUCGGAUCGUAAAGCUCUGUUGUAAGAGAAGAACGAGUGUGAGAGUGGAAAGUUCACACUGUGACGGUAUCUUACCAGAAAGGGACGGCUAACUACGU